Molecule: ribosomal RNA, 338 nt
Filed under: uncultured Glomus
Lineage: Eukaryota; Fungi; Glomeromycota; Glomeromycetes; Glomerales; Glomeraceae
Description: SSU rRNA
Rfam family: Eukaryotic small subunit ribosomal RNA
Source: RNAcentral
AGCAGCCGCGGUAAUUCCAGCUCCAAUAGCGUAUAUUAAAGUUGUUGCAGUUAAAAAGCUCGUAGUUGAAUUUCGGGGUCAGUGGGUCGGUCGUGCCCACUGGUAUGUACUGGCCCUACUGAUUCCUCCUUCUUGAGAACUGUAAUGCCAUUAAUUUGGUGUUGCAGGGAAACAGGACUGUUACUUUGAAAAAAUUGAGUGUUUAAAGCAGGCAAUCGCUUGAAUACAUUAGCAUGGAAUAAUGAAAUAGGACGUUCGAUCCUAUUUUGUUGGUUUCUAGGGUUGACGUAAUGAUUAAUAGGGAUAGUUGGGGGCAUUAGUAUUCAAUUGUCAGAGGU